RNAcentral lists this ribosomal RNA (1891 nucleotides) under Campylobacter jejuni. RNAcentral describes it as "partial 23S ribosomal RNA". It matches the Rfam family "Bacterial large subunit ribosomal RNA", at positions 1 to 1758 of the family's 2925-position model. Lineage: Bacteria; Pseudomonadati; Campylobacterota; Epsilonproteobacteria; Campylobacterales; Campylobacteraceae. The record is from RNAcentral.
AAAAAAGGUAAGCUACUAAGAGCGAAUGGUGGAUGCCUUGACUGGUAAAGGCGAUGAAGGACGUACUAGACUGCGAUAAGCUACGGGGAGCUGUCAAGAAGCUUUGAUCCGUAGAUUUCCGAAUGGGGCAACCCAAUGUAUAGAGAUAUACAUUACCUAUAUAGGAGCGAACGAGGGGAAUUGAAACAUCUUAGUACCCUCAGGAAAAGAAAUCAAUAGAGAUUGCGUCAGUAGCGGCGAGCGAAAGCGCAAGAGGGCAAACCCAGUGCUUGCACUGGGGGUUGUAGGACUGCAAUGUGCAAGAGCUGAGUUUAGCAGAACAUUCUGGAAAGUAUAGCCAUAGAGGGUGAUAGUCCCGUAUGCGAAAAACAAAGCUUAGCUAGCAGUAUCCUGAGUAGGGCGGGACACGAGGAAUCCUGUCUGAAUCCGGGUCGACCACGAUCCAACCCUAAAUACUAAUACCAGAUCGAUAGUGCACAAGUACCGUGAGGGAAAGGUGAAAAGAACUGAGGUGAUCAGAGUGAAAUAGAACCUGAAACCAUUUGCUUACAAUCAUUCAGAGCACUAUGUAGCAAUACAGUGUGAUGGACUGCCUUUUGCAUAAUGAGCCUGCGAGUUGUGGUGUCUGGCAAGGUUAAGCAAACGCGAAGCCGUAGCGAAAGCGAGUCUGAAUAGGGCGCUUAGUCAGAUGCUGCAGACCCGAAACGAAGUGAUCUAUCCAUGAGCAAGUUGAAGCUAGUGUAAGAACUAGUGGAGGACUGAACCCAUAGGCGUUGAAAAGCCCCGGGAUGACUUGUGGAUAGGGGUGAAAGGCCAAUCAAACUUCGUGAUAGCUGGUUCUCUCCGAAAUAUAUUUAGGUAUAGCGUUGUGUCGUAAUAUAAGGGGGUAGAGCACUGAAUGGGCUAGGGCAUACACCAAUGUACCAAACCCUAUCAAACUCCGAAUACCUUAUAUGUAAUCACAGCAGUCAGGCGGCGAGUGAUAAAAUCCGUCGUCAAGAGGGAAACAACCCAGACUACCAGCUAAGGUCCCUAAAUCUUACUUAAGUGGAAAACGAUGUGAAGUUACUUAAACAACCAGGAGGUUGGCUUAGAAGCAGCCAUCCUUUAAAGAAAGCGUAAUAGCUCACUGGUCUAGUGAUUUUGCGCGGAAAAUAUAACGGGGCUAAAGUAAGUACCGAAGCUGUAGACUUGCGCACAACUUAGAUUAUUUAAGUUUAGAAUAUGAGAAACUAAGUUAUGUUUAGUUAUAUUUUUACUGAUUUUUAUAGAGUAAAGAUAGAAAUAAAACUUAGUAAAAUCAGUAAAAAUAUUCUUAGGCUAAAGUUAAGUAGUUUAAGUUGUGUGCAAGUGGUAGGAGAGCGUUCUAUUUGCGUCGAAGGUAUACCGGUAAGGAGUGCUGGAGCGAAUAGAAGUGAGCAUGCAGGCAUGAGUAGCGAUAAUUAAUGUGAGAAUCAUUAACGCCGUAAACCCAAGGUUUCCUACGCGAUGCUCGUCAUCGUAGGGUUAGUCGGGUCCUAAGUCGAGUCCGAAAGGGGUAGACGAUGGCAAAUUGGUUAAUAUUCCAAUACCAACAUUAGUGUGCGAUGGAAGGACGCUUAGGGCUAAGGGGGCUAGCGGAUGGAAGUGCUAGUCUAAGGUCGUAGGAGGUUAUACAGGCAAAUCCGUAUAACAAUACUCCGAGAACUGAAAGGCUUUUUGAAGUCUUCGGAUGGAUAGAAGAACCCCUGAUGCCGUCGAGCCAAGAAAAGUUUCUAAGUUUAGCUAAUGUUGCCCGUACCGUAAACCGACACAGGUGGGUGGGAUGAGUAUUCUAAGGCGCGUGGAAGAACUCUCUUUAAGGAACUCUGCAAAAUAGCACCGUAUCUUCGGUAUAAGGUGUGGUUAGCUU